This is a non-coding RNA of Pelobates cultripes (western spadefoot toad), 359 nucleotides long. The record is from the annotation of a GenBank genome assembly. NCBI's taxonomy places the organism in Eukaryota, Metazoa, Chordata, Amphibia, Anura, Pelobatidae.
AAACUCCUUUACUGUGUUAACCUCUACCAUUUCAGCUGGAAGGCUAUUCCAUGCAUCCACUACCCUCUCAGUAAAGUAAUACUUCCUGAUAUUAUUUUUUAAACCUUUGUCCCUCUAAUUUAAGACUGUCCUCUUGUUGUGGUAGUUUUUCUUCUUUUAAAUAUAGUCUCCUCCUUUACAGUGUUGAUUCCCUUUAUAUAUUUAAAUGUUUCUAUCAUAUCCCCCCUGUCUCGUCUUUCCUCCAAACUAUACAUGUUAAGAUCCUUUAACCUUUCCUGGUAAAUUUUAUCCCGCAAUCCAUGAACCAGUUUAGUAGCCCUUCUCUGAACCCUCUCUAAGGUAUCAAUAUCCUUCUGAAG